Mustela lutreola (European mink) is the source of this 364-nucleotide long non-coding RNA. RefSeq lists it as uncharacterized. NCBI's taxonomy places the organism in Eukaryota, Metazoa, Chordata, Mammalia, Carnivora, Mustelidae. The transcript is spliced from 3 exons. The record is from RefSeq and is a predicted model, not a curated record.
AAUCCUUGGUAAUGAGCCCGAGAACUAAACUUUUUCAGGCUGGGUGCCCUCGAGGCAGAACCGGUGAUAGAAGCAUUGGAAGAGACAAGAAACAAUGGAUAAAGGACCAGAAGGCUGAUCAUAUGCCGGUAUUCUACGGAAAACACUGUACGGUCUCUAAAAUGAACGUUCAGCCUACGUGUGGGUAUUAGAUCUGCCAUUGCUUGCUGCAAAUUACUUCACUUCCUGAAGUUUCAUCCUCCUUAAAUGGAGCCAGUGGAUAAUUAAAUACACCACCAACAAAAUUAUUGUGGAGAUUAAAUACAAUGAUAUAUGUACCUUUUCAGAAAAGUGCUAAAACGUAGGAGUUUCAAUAAAAAGUAAG